RNAcentral lists this ribosomal RNA (169 nucleotides) under uncultured bacterium. Its description in RNAcentral is "partial 16S ribosomal RNA". It matches the Rfam family "Bacterial small subunit ribosomal RNA", at positions 338 to 524 of the family's 1533-position model. The record is from RNAcentral.
CCUACGGGAGGCAGCAGUGGGGAAUCUUGCGCAAUGGGCGAAAGCCUGACGCAGUCAUGCCGCGUGAAUGAUGAAGGUCUUAGGAUUGUAAAAUUCUUUCACCGGGGACGAUAAUGACGGUACCCGGAGAAGAAGCCCCGGCUAACUUCGUGCCAGCAGCCGCGGUAAU